UACGUAGGGUGCGAGCGUUGUCCGGAAUUAUUGGGCGUAAAGGGCUCGUAGGCGGUUUGUCGCGUCGGGAGUGAAAACUCAGGGCUUAACCCUGAGCCUGCUUCCGAUACGGGCAGACUGGAGUACUGCAGGGGAGACUGGAAUUCCUGGUGUAGCGGUGGAAUGCGCAGAUAUCAGGAGGAACACCGGUGGCGAAGGCGGGUCUCUGGGCAGUAACUGACGCUGAGGAGCGAAAGCGUGGGGAGCGAACAGG
This 253-nucleotide ribosomal RNA is filed under the name uncultured bacterium. Its description in RNAcentral is "partial 16S ribosomal RNA". It matches the Rfam family "Bacterial small subunit ribosomal RNA", at positions 524 to 776 of the family's 1533-position model. The record is from RNAcentral.